ACUCCCAUGGCGUAGUGGGUCACUGCGCCUCGCCUUGCACGCGGGAGACCCGGGUUCGAUUCCCGGCGGAGUC
Molecule: transfer RNA, 73 nt
Filed under: Diaphorina citri (Asian citrus psyllid)
Lineage: Eukaryota; Metazoa; Arthropoda; Insecta; Hemiptera; Psyllidae
Rfam family: tRNA
About the family: Transfer RNA (tRNA) molecules are approximately 80 nucleotides in length. Their secondary structure includes four short double-helical elements and three loops (D, anti-codon, and T loops). Further hydrogen bonds mediate the characteristic L-shaped molecular structure. tRNAs have two regions of fundamental functional importance: the anti-codon, which is responsible for specific mRNA codon recognition, and the 3' end, to which the tRNAs corresponding amino acid is attached (by aminoacyl-tRNA synthetases). tRNAs cope with the degeneracy of the genetic code in two manners: having more than one tRNA (with a specific anti-codon) for a particular amino acid; and 'wobble' base-pairing, i.e. permitting non-standard base-pairing at the 3rd anti-codon position.
Source: Rfam by way of RNAcentral